AACGAACGCUGGCGGCAGGCUUAACACGUGCAAGUCGAACGCCCCGCAAGGGGAGUGGCAGACGGGUGAGUAACGCGUGGGAACAUACCCUUUUCUACGGAAUAGCUCUGGGAAACUGGAAUUAAUACCGUGUACGCCCUACGGGGGAAAGAUUUAUCGGGGAAGGAUUGGCCCGCGUUGGAUUAGCUAGUUGGUGGGGUAAAGGCCUACCAAGGCGACGAUCCAUAGCUGGUCUGAGAGGAUGAUCAGCCACAUUGGGACUGAGACACGGCCCAAACUCCUACGGGAGGCAGCAGUGGGGAAUAUUGGACAAUGGGCGCAAGCCUGAUCCAGCCAUGCCGCGUGAGUGAUGAAGGCCUUAGGGUUGUAAAGCUCUUUCACCGAUGAAGAUAAUGACGGUAGUCGGAGAAGAAGCCCCGGCUAACUUCGUG
Molecule: ribosomal RNA, 431 nt
Filed under: uncultured bacterium
Lineage: Bacteria
Description: partial 16S ribosomal RNA
Rfam family: Bacterial small subunit ribosomal RNA
Source: RNAcentral